This 489-nucleotide ribosomal RNA is filed under the name uncultured bacterium. Its description in RNAcentral is "partial 16S ribosomal RNA". It matches the Rfam family "Bacterial small subunit ribosomal RNA", at positions 30 to 506 of the family's 1533-position model. The record is from RNAcentral.
AUUGAACGCUGGCGGCAGGCCUAACACAUGCAAGUCGAACGGUAACAGGAAGAAGCUUGCUUCUUUGCUGACGAGUGGCGGACGGGUGAGUAAUGUCUGGGAAACUGCCUGAUGGAGGGGGAUAACUACUGGAAACGGUAGCUAAUACCGCAUAACGUCGCAAGACCAAAGAGGGGGACCUUCGGGCCUCUUGCCAUCGGAUGUGCCCAGAUGGGAUUAGCUAGUAGGUGGGGUAACGGCUCACCUAGGCGACGAUCCCUAGCUGGUCUGAGAGGAUGACCAGCCACACUGGAACUGAGACACGGUCCAGACUCCUACGGGAGGCAGCAGUGGGGAAUAUUGCACAAUGGGCGCAAGCCUGAUGCAGCCACGCCGCGUGUAUGAAGAGGGCCUUCGUGUUGUAAAGUACUUUCAGCGGGGAGGAAGGGAGUAAAGUUAAAACCUUUGCUCAUUGACGUUACCCGCAGAAGAAGCACCGGCUAACUCCGU